GACGAACGCUGGCGGCGUGCUUAACACAUGCAAGUCGAACGGAAAGGCCCUGCUUUUGUGGGGUGCUCGAGUGGCGAACGGGUGAGUAACACGUGAGUAACCUGCCCUUGACUUUGGGAUAACUUCAGGAAACUGGGGCUAAUACCGGAUAGGAGCUCCUGCUGCAUGGUGGGGGUUGGAAAGUUUCGGCGGUUGGGGAUGGACUCGCGGCUUAUCAGCUUGUUGGUGGGGUAGUGGCUUACCAAGGCUUGAACGGGUGGCCGGCCUGAGAGGGUGACCGGCCACAUUGGGACUGAGAGACGGCCCAGACUCCUACGGGGGGCAGCAGUGGGGAUUAUUGCACAAUGGGCGGAAGCCUGAUGCAGCAACGCCGCGUGCGGGAUGACGGCCUUCGGGUUGUAAACCGCUUUCGCCUGUGACGAAGCGUGAGUGACGGUAAUGGGUAAAGAAGCACCGGCUAACUACGUG
RNAcentral lists this ribosomal RNA (468 nucleotides) under uncultured bacterium. Its description in RNAcentral is "partial 16S ribosomal RNA". It matches the Rfam family "Bacterial small subunit ribosomal RNA", at positions 28 to 507 of the family's 1533-position model. The record is from RNAcentral.